Molecule: non-coding RNA, 455 nt
Organism: Odocoileus virginianus texanus
Lineage: Eukaryota; Metazoa; Chordata; Mammalia; Artiodactyla; Cervidae
Source: RefSeq, a predicted model, not a curated record
CACCGGAAGUGAGGCAUGAAACCACAAGUGAGGCUGAAACCGCAGUGAGAAGGAGCAGCUCUGAGCCCUCGCUGCAGCCCUCCGGGGGCCUCACCGCCCAGAAGCCACCCUUCCUGUCUUUCCUCCUGUCACAGCCCUGAUUUUACUCGGAGUCAGUGAAACCCCUUACUCCGCUAGGAGGCACGCUCUCUCACCUCAUGUGCAGGAGAUAAACUACGGCUGGAGUGAGCAGUCGUGGGCUCCCCUCUGCCAGGGCUCGGCCCGAGGCCCAUCCAUGGCCUAGUUCUGACCAGCAGCUGUGAGAGAGAGUUGAUAGACAGGAAAACAAAUGGGAAUCAAGCAGCCUACUUCCUGUCAGGGUGCUGAUGAAGAGAAGCGUCAAUAAACAGAACAGUCUCCUGAGCUGCUGGCUCGCAGUCCCGUGCAGGAAGUGGAAUAAAGCGGAUCCUGACCCA